AUGUUUGCCACCGCUCGUCGCGGGUCUCAAUUCUGGAAAUCCCUUGUCAAAGUCAGGCCUACCUUCCUGGAACAUGUUAAAUUUACCAUUGGUAAUGGGACGGCAAUCCGUUUCUGGUUGGACUGGUGGUUUGGGGAUGCCCCCCUAGCUCUUAGUUUUCCGGUUUUGUUUUCGUAUUGCCCUACUCCUGAUAUCUCCAUCGCGGAGGUGGCGGCUAAUAACUGGGAUCUGGCUUUUCGUCGGUCCCUAUCUCCUGAAGAGUUGGAAGACUGGCAAAGUCUCUCUGCCCUCUUCCCCGUGCUCUCGGAGACGUCUGACACUGUGGUUUGGCCUCAUUCGGCCUCUGGCAGAUUUUCGGUUAAGUCGUUGUACUCUAGGCUUAUCGGUGGUACCCUUUCGAGCAGAUUUUCUUGUGUUUGGAAGUCCAAAGUCCCUCCUAAGAUUAAAAUUUUCCUUUGGCAAGCCUUUCGGGGAUCUGUUCUAACCAAAGACAAUCUCGUACGACGCAACUGGCCAGGGAGUAAGAAGUGUUGUUUUUGUACUCAUGAAGAGACAAUCAAACACCUGCUUUUCCAAUGCAAGUUUGCACGUUCUACGUGGCCAGACAUCCAAAUAGCAUCAAAUUUGUAUCCUCCCACAAGUGUCGUCAAUAUUUUUGGUCAUUGGUUGGACGGUAUUCCAAAUAGGUUCAAAAUGCUAAUAAGGGUGGGAACGUAUGCCUUACUAUGGUCGCUUUGGCUAUGUUGA
This 747-nucleotide ribosomal RNA is filed under the name Triticum aestivum (bread wheat). Its description in RNAcentral is "partial small subunit ribosomal RNA". The record is from RNAcentral. Lineage: Eukaryota; Viridiplantae; Streptophyta; Magnoliopsida; Poales; Poaceae.